RNAcentral lists this ribosomal RNA (253 nucleotides) under uncultured bacterium. RNAcentral's name for it is "partial 16S ribosomal RNA". It matches the Rfam family "Bacterial small subunit ribosomal RNA", at positions 524 to 776 of the family's 1533-position model. The record is from RNAcentral.
UACGGAGGGUGCAAGCGUUAUCCGGAUUUACUGGGUUUAAAGGGUGCGUAGGUGGACAGGAAAGUCAGUGGUGAAAUCUUCGAGCUUAACUCGGAAACUGCCAUUGAUACUAUUUGUCUUGAAUACUUUGGAGGUAAGCGGAAUAUGUCAUGUAGCGGUUAAAUGCUUAGAUAUUACAUAUAACACCAAAUGCGAAGGCAGCUUACUACCCAGUUAUUGACCCUGAGGCACGAAAGCGUGGGGAUCAAACAGG